Long non-coding RNA from Mytilus trossulus (common blue mussel), 565 nucleotides. RefSeq lists it as uncharacterized. Lineage: Eukaryota; Metazoa; Mollusca; Bivalvia; Mytilida; Mytilidae. The transcript has 3 exons. The record is from RefSeq and is a predicted model, not a curated record.
AACAAGUUGGCCAUGCUUCCACAAAACUUUACAAAUAAAUAAGAUGACAAAGUAAUGACACAGGACAAGGUUAUUUGUCAUCGGUGUUGUGUCGUUGUUCUCCUCUUAUAUUUAAUGCGUUUCCCUCGGUUUUAGUUUUUUAUCCCUAUUUUUUUUUUGUCCAUGGAUUUAUGAGUUUUGAACCGCGGUAUACUACUGUUACCUUUUUUAUUGCUUGUCAAUUACUUUUUGUCAUUGUAAUGCUGUAAUGCUACAUACUUUGAAACAUGUGUGUUUUAGAACUUAGCCUCUGUAUGUCAGGAUCAUAACUGCAGUCUGGAAGAAAUAUGUAUUCCAAAAGCACAAAGCCAUAUAUGUCAUCCAUUUUUCCAGAACAAAACCGUCCAUCAAACAUGUCCAGUGAAUUGGUUGAGAUUAGGAAGUAACUGUUACUAUUUCAGUGCUGAUACUAAAACGUGGCACGAUGCAAAGGCGUUUUGUGAAGGUGAAAAUUCCAUGCUUGCAGAAGUGAGAACUACUACGCAGAGGAGCUGCAUAAAGACCGUGGUCAAGACAUAUCAGAAAA